UUAUAAGAGUGAAUGUUCUACCUCCUAAUGACAACGAUGAUGUUGCAACUUGUAUUGUCAGGCUUCGGUCUACCACAACCCAAACAUAUGGUAUAUCAAGAGAGAAGUAGCAACUUCACCACUGUUUUAUAUGAGACACGCCAUAAUUUGAUUAAUUAUCCUUUAAUUAAACAAAUAGAGGGACAUUUCAUAUUUUAUUUCCUCUGUUUUCUUUCUUUUCUUCGUAGAGAUACAAAUUGGGGAUUGCAAAUCAGCCAUUCAAUUCAAGCAUGGCAAAUGUGGCUAAGGAGUUCUGUAGUGCCACAAGGUAGAGAAAGAAGGGCUCGAUUGGAAUGGCAGUUACACACCAUUUAAAAAUGGUGGUGACUCUUCCAAUGUACAUAUGGCAUAAUUGUAUUGCUAUCUGGACCGUGCAAAUCAAUGACGUAACUGUGGAUAGAUCAUAACAAAACCAUAAUGCCGACGAGAUGGAAAACCAUCUUAUUUUUCAUUUGAAUUUGGAUCACUCACUAUUUUACUUUUAACCAUUCAUUUGUUAGCCAUUGAUUGGAUGAUUAGAAUUGUUUGAUUAGUGUCAUGUUUACAGAUUGGUCCAUGGGUCAUUGAGGAGGAUCCAUGCCUGCCAAACAGUGGACAUCCGAGGCCUUUUUAUGAUGGGUUGCUGACAUUAUCAUUUGCUAGUGACGUUAGAGCCCAUGGGUCUCCAAAUAAUGAAGGAAUAGGUAUUGUAUGUUGGAACAAAAGGUUGCUGAUAUCAGGUAUCUCUAGAGCUGUUCCAUGCAUUUCCAUUUCAUCUCCACCAGGAAAGGCCAACUUUGUUGUAGUGAGGGUGCAAAAAAUAUGCCAAAGAUUGGAUUGAUUUAGGAUGAAUUUCUUUUUCUGCCAGGGGAGGUAUUUUGUAAAUGGGCUCAUAUGAUAGGCAACAUCCUAAGUUUUUAAUGGGAUCAUGCCAGAAUGUAGCAGUCUUGUUACAAGUUUGUUAAUAAAAAAAAUAAGUUUCCUUUCAAAAAAGGAAGAAGAAGAAAAGAAGAUAAACCCAUGCCUAGCCCAUUUCAGGCUGGUCUCGUGUACCAUUGGGUUACCAAGCCCAUGGUGACCCUUACUCUUGACUAAAUUUAAGAAAUUUGUAAUUCUUUUUAAUAAAAUUUUCUUAUUCUUAAAAACAGUAUAAUGGGACAGUAUUUUCUUAGUGAAAUGUGUAAAUUAGCAGCAA
This is a long non-coding RNA of Magnolia sinica, 1213 nucleotides long. RefSeq lists it as uncharacterized. NCBI's taxonomy places the organism in Eukaryota, Viridiplantae, Streptophyta, Magnoliopsida, Magnoliales, Magnoliaceae. The transcript has 2 exons. The record is from RefSeq and is a predicted model, not a curated record.